Molecule: ribosomal RNA, 381 nt
Filed under: uncultured organism
Description: bacterial SSU rRNA
Rfam family: Bacterial small subunit ribosomal RNA
Source: RNAcentral
CGCAAUGGGCGAAAGCCUGACGGAGCGACGCCGCGUGGUUGAUGAAGUCCUUCGGGACGUAAAAACCUUUUAUGAUUAGAAAAGUUUAUUGAUUCAGUCAUGAAUAAGGGGCUCCAAACUCUGUGCCAGCAGGAGCGGUAAUACAGAGGCCCCCAGCGUUGUCCGGAAUCACUGGGCGUAAAGGGGGUGUAGGUGGUCUUGUUAGUCUCUCGUUAAAGCUCCUGGGUCUAUCGGGGAAAUGCCAAGGGAACGGCAAGGCCUUGAGGAUGCGAGGGGUAUAUGGAACUCAUGGAGUAGGGGUGAAAUCCGUUGAUAUCAUGGGGAACACCAAAAGCGAAGGCAACAUACUGGAGCAUUCCUGACAUCGAAACACGAAAGCGU